UCUAUUCAGGAUCCAUCAGCAAUAACUUCCACCCCAUGGCGUGGUCCCAUCCCUCGUGACAACUCCCGUCUGUUGUCAUAGACUUCUUUUUCCAUCUUUUCUUGAGGAAUUCCUGGGAAUAAUAGAAGAGGCGUAAGAAAUGACCUUCACCUGGAAGCGGGUCCCAGCGGUCCCUCUGAUGUGCUCCCCUAAAGUAAGUCGUUUCAGCAAGUGAAUCCAAACUCUCCAGUCCAUUCCGAGAAGACGCUGAUGGGAGCAGAGACGCCCUCAGCUUUUCCCACACCUGCCUGGUGAUUCCGUUCAACAGGUUAAUGGGGCCGUUGAAAUGGGAAGAAGCUGUAAGCCAACAGCAUGAGGCUAAAACAGUGAGUUUUUUCAAGUGAGAAGCAACAAGAAAGUGUGUUUAUGCUUUCUCAUUGCCAGAGACUGAAUCCUCCCUCCUGCCCGGCCCCUUGCCAGUGAGGAGGGGCGCCUCGUUCCCAAAGCCUGCAGGCCGAGGCGUUACUGCCUCUCAUGGAUGAGUUUGAGGUUCCAGAGCUCUCUCCCUGCCCUGGAAGCUGCUCCCUCAGUGGAGAGGGGACUGUGCAUCCCUGGGUGCCGGCUGCUCCUCUGUCCAGACGAUGGCAGUGAGCCAGACCUGCUGAGGUCCUGUGUGGGGAAUCCGCACGCCUGCCCGCUGGCCCAUCUCCCCUCCUGACCUUUCUCCCUGUCCAGGGCUCUUCCUUCCAUCAGGGUAGAUUCAGUGGGGGGUGGAGGCAAUCAACAUGUUUCUCACCCCCCUCCCUUCCAACUUGCCAGAAGCAUCCACGGUGGAGGUUAAUCAAGGUCAACUCAUCACAGCCCCCUUCUCAGCUGUUGCUAGGAGGAUGGUCCUUGCCAGUGACAUGGUCCCUUCUGUCUCAUCAUCCUCAUUCUCCAGAACCCGAACUGUGGCUGCCAUCACCGGGCCGUCCCACCCUGCCCACAGCCCUCUGCCCUCCUGGUCUUGGACCUGCUCUGCUCCAUGUCUGUGCUCACAGUGGGCUGAGAGGUUCCAGGAGCUGGAAAGUGCUGAGCAGGCUCACAGCUUGCA
Molecule: long non-coding RNA, 1072 nt
Organism: Diceros bicornis minor
Lineage: Eukaryota; Metazoa; Chordata; Mammalia; Perissodactyla; Rhinocerotidae
Exons: 3
Source: RefSeq, a predicted model, not a curated record